UGGGGAAUAUUGCACAAUGGACGGAAGUUUGAUGCAGCGACGCCGCGUGGAGGGUGUAGGCCUUCGGGUUGUGAACUCCUUUUUCUCGCGAAAAAGGCACAGUUUUGGCUGUGUUGAUGGUAGUGGGGGAAGAAGCGCCGGCUAACUACGUGCCAGCAGCCGCGGUAAUACGUAGGGCGCGAGCGUUGUCCGGAUUUAUUGGGCGUAAAGAGCUCGUAGGUGGUUCGUCGCGUCUGUCGUGAAAGCCAGCAGCUUAACUGUUGGUCUGCGGUGGGUACGGGCGGGCUUGAGUGCGGUAGGGGUGACUGGAAUUCCUGGUGUAGCGGUGGAAUGCGCAGAUAUCAGGAGGAACACCGAUGGCGAAAGCAGGUCACUGGGCCGUUACUGACACUGAGGAGCGAAAGCGUGGGGAGCGAACAGG
RNAcentral lists this ribosomal RNA (421 nucleotides) under Fusobacteriota bacterium. Its description in RNAcentral is "Fusobacteria bacterium partial 16S ribosomal RNA". It matches the Rfam family "Bacterial small subunit ribosomal RNA", at positions 355 to 776 of the family's 1533-position model. The record is from RNAcentral. Lineage: Bacteria; Fusobacteriati; Fusobacteriota.